GCCAUGUCUGAAAUGUCAUUCGAUUCCUUUAUACUUCUCAGGAGCAGUUAAUCAUGAAAGCUCUACCACUUGGUGGGAAGGAAGAUGGUCUAUUCUUCUGCCCAACGGAGGCCGCGUUGAGUCCUUGAUUGGGCAUGCCAUGGCAUCUGCAGUGUACCUCGUGCUGCUGGGUGGCUCGGGACGGGCCAGUUGCCGUGGGAGGCCCACCUCCUGCUGA
RNAcentral lists this long non-coding RNA (217 nucleotides) under Saimiri boliviensis boliviensis (Bolivian squirrel monkey). RNAcentral's name for it is "lncRNA (ENSSBOG00000036538.1)". Lineage: Eukaryota; Metazoa; Chordata; Mammalia; Primates; Cebidae. The record is from RNAcentral.